RNAcentral lists this ribosomal RNA (465 nucleotides) under Vreelandella stevensii. RNAcentral's name for it is "partial 16S ribosomal RNA". It matches the Rfam family "Bacterial small subunit ribosomal RNA", at positions 338 to 795 of the family's 1533-position model. Lineage: Bacteria; Pseudomonadati; Pseudomonadota; Gammaproteobacteria; Oceanospirillales; Halomonadaceae. The record is from RNAcentral.
CCUACGGGUGGCUGCAGUGGGGAAUAUUGGACAAUGGGCGAAAGCCUGAUCCAGCCAUGCCGCGUGUGUGAAGAAGGCCUUCGGGUUGUAAAGCACUUUCAGUGGGGAAGAAAGCCUUGGGGCUAAUACCCUCGAGGAAGGACAUCACCCACAGAAGAAGCACCGGCUAACUCCGUGCCAGCAGCCGCGGUAAUACGGAGGGUGCGAGCGUUAAUCGGAAUUACUGGGCGUAAAGCGCGCGUAGGCGGUCUGAUAAGCCGGUUGUGAAAGCCCCGGGCUCAACCUGGGAACGGCAUCCGGAACUGUCAGGCUAGAGUGCAGGAGAGGAAGGUAGAAUUCCCGGUGUAGCGGUGAAAUGCGUAGAGAUCGGGAGGAAUACCAGUGGCGAAGGCGGCCUUCUGGACUGACACUGACGCUGAGGUGCGAAAGCGUGGGUAGCAAACAGGAUUAAAUACCCUGGUAGUC